AAAUGGUUUUAUAAAAGAACUUAAUUUUGCUUAUUGAAAAUCUCAUCCUGGGGUCCUAACAUGGCCUGGCAUACAGGAGAAAAUCUUUACUUGCUAAUUGAUCAUUUCUAAAUUACAUUUCUAAAUGUGUUCUUGAGAAAGUAAUGGAAUCUUGGAAUUAGAAGGGAAUUUAGAGGUAUCUGACUCCAACUGACACCUGGCCAAAAAUUCCCUUGACAGCAACUCCUGCAAGUGGUCAUCUAGCUUCUGUUAAAACACACUAAUGAUGGGGGGAAAGGGAGCAUGAUUAUCACCAGUAACAGUCCACUUUUGAUCGGUACCAUUUGUUGAAAAGUUUUCUUGUGAAUUGUUUGUUAUUUAUAUGGAGCUGAAAUCUGCCUCUCUGUAUCUUCUACCCAUUGCUCUAACUUCUGCUCUCUGAAGCCAAGAAAAAUUAGCCUAAUCCUACUUUUCAAUCACAGAGGAAAUGUGAUAUAGUACAAAGAGCAUCAGAUUUGGAGUCAAGAGACCCUGGGGCCAAAUAUUGGGACUUCAAUUUAUUGUGUGUAUAGGACCCUGGGCCUCAGUUUCCUCAGCUAUAAAAGGAAGGGGUUGAAUGCAAUCAUUUAUAAGGCCCCUUCCAACUCUAAAUGUUUGAUCCCAUGACAGCAGUUUUAAAUAUUUGAUGACAGUGAUUAUGUUCCCCUAAGCCUUCUCUUCUCCAGGCUAACUUAAGUUCCUUCAACCAUUCUUUGAAUAGCCUCGCACCUGUCAUUCUCUCACUUAUCCAGGUAUUGUGGAGGACAUUAAAAUACACCCAUUAAGAGUUAGCAAUCUCCCUGGGAGGUCAGACAUACAUAUGUGAAAUGUCAACUGUUAAUGAAUUUGUGGUUUAGUUGUUUUUCAGCUGUGUCUGGAUCUUUGGAGCCCCAUUUGGAAUUUUCUUAGCAAAGAUACUGAAAUGAUUUGCCAUUUCCCUCUACAGCUAUUUUUCAGAUAAGGAAACUGAGGCAAAUAAAAUUAAGUGACUUACUCAGCAUCACACAGCUAAUAAAAAUCUGAGUAUGGAACUGAACUCAGGUAUUUCUGAUUCCAGGCUGCAUAAUCUGUCCAUUGUACCACUUAGCUGCCUCAAUUGACAAAUACCUGAUGAGAGACUGCAUAGUGUAGAGGGCAAGUCACCACACUUAGAACCAGGUAAGUCUAUGUUAAGCCCAUUCUCAGAUACUAAUUAGUUGCGUGAUCUUGGGCAAGUCACUUAAAUUCUCUUCCUAAUGUACAAAACAGAGGAGGUUGGACCCAUGGCCUCAAAGGUUCCUCCAGUUCUUAAAAAAAAAGAAAGAAUAAAUGUAAGUCCUCAUUAGCGAUUUUGAUGCCUUUGUGAGAGGAAAUCUUAUUUUCUCAUGAAAUCUUCCUUUCUACUAAUCUUAAGAGAUAGUAUAGCCAAAGCUGAGAAAUUCAAAUUCUACUCAUUCCAAAUUAAUCAAAGUUCUCACAAAAACUGGGAAUUGUGCCAAAAAUCACCCUUACUAAGCAAAGCUUUUCUUAAUUUGUGAGGAAGAUUUCAGGAAUUAAAGCUUGAGCUAUUUGAAGGAAUAAACCUUCUCUAACAUCUCCAAGCAUUUAGAAGUGUUCAGUUGCAGACUAGUAAUUGACAUACUAAUUACAAAUCUAUUUUAUCCUCUCUGAUUCUUUCUCUACUUGUUGACAGUUUUUUUAACCUCCUCUGCAUUGCUAUAUGAAUUGGAAAGUCUAUCAAACUCCACCUUUUCUCUAAAGGAAAUUUAAUACACUCUCAAUCUCCAUUGCUCUGUAUCCAUAUAGAAAAGCAGACAAAAUGCAAGAAUAUUAGAUUGGGAGUCAGGAAACCUGGAUUGUGUUUCCAAUUCAGUAGUAACUAAUCAGAGUUACCUUGGACAAGUGACAUGAUCCUUCUGGGUUGCAGUUUCUUCACCUAUAAAAUGUGUAGGUUGGAUCAAGUGAUCUUUAAAAUACUUUCCUAUCUUAACAAUCUGUGUGCCAACAUUUUUUGUUCUAAGGUCAUUUGCAGUCUCAAAAUUCUAUGUUCUGCUCUACCAUUUUGUGUUCUAAGAUUCCUUCCACCUCAGAAAUUCCAAGAAAGCCAAAAGCUUAAUACAAAAUGACCUUUUAGAAAAGCAAGUUUUUUAAUAAAAUUCACUCUUUAGACUAGGAGUCGGGAAGUCCAAGUUCUGGUCUUGAUCAGCUACUUACUCGAUGUAUACUUAAGCAAGUUAGUUUCCCCUCUCUGCUCACUUUCCUCAUCUGCAAGGUGGGAAUAAAAAUAUCUGCCUUGUCUACUUUACACAGCAGCUGUGAGGGACAAAUUAAAUAAUGGCUAUGGAAAUGCUUUGUAACUGGGAAACCCUUCCAUAAGUUUUGUAAUAUUGUCAUGGAAAGCUCUAGAGAAGUUGGACUCUUCCUACCUCACAGUGUUAUUGUGAGGAAAGAAAGCGCACUUCGUAAAAUUUUGAAAGUGAACUAGAGUUUGCUAGUAUUUAUUAUGAUGUCCUAUUCUAAUCUCAACAGUAACAGAGGGGGAUUGUCAACAUGGCCUCUGUUCUGUUAUGAGUCCUAAUGAUUUUCUUGGGAGAAAGUGCAGGAUAGUGGGUAGAAAGCCAGCCUUGGUGUAAAGAAGGUUCAAGUACUGCCCUGACAUGUACAGUCUCUGCAACCAUGGGCAAAGUCCAAGGGACUUUCCAGGGUCUUGGAAGACUGUCUAAGAAUGUAAGUUACAAACAAGUUGCUGAUCUGCAUUUGUGCAAGUAUUUUCCACAUCAGGAUUUCUCCCAUACUGAUGAAAUUACAAGUCUGGGUCAAAAAUGAUUUUCUUAGAUAAAUAUAAUUAGAUGGACUAAAUGACCUCUAAGGUCCCUUUCAAUUCUAACAUUCUAUGUUUAAGAACCCUUCCAGCUUGAACACUCUUAUGUUUUGAUGGUCUAUAUUCUAAAGUCUUUUCCAACUUGAAGAUUCUGCCAAGUCCUUAACUUCAAUAUUAUCCAUCUACUUUCCCUCUAAUAUUAGGGGAAGCAAAUCAGAGUGUGCUGGAUAGAUUAAAGAAAACAAGUCUGGAAAUGUAAUGUUGGUCAUGGACAAGCCACCAAUGAGAUAAUCAAAGCUUGACUAUAUGUCCCUGGGGGAAGAAAAAAGCUGAAACUAAUAUGCUGUGGAAUGUUCCUAUAUUUUAAUGCAUCUCUGGUUUGUCAGGGCUUAUAAAAUCUUAAAGCUAACAUUCCUGCCAUGUACAGACAACUGUAUAUUCUCCCAAAUACAUUCUGUAGAGGCCACAAGCAUAAACACUAGAAUGAGAAAUUGUUGCAUGAUUUUAUGUCUGAGAAGCAGAUCUGAGCCCUCUGUGGGAAAAAGAUUUUUGAGAUUGGUCAUAUGUAGUCUGACUGGGCUAUGUGCCCAGUUGCCCUUUGAAGGAUUCAAGGCGCUAAAUUGUCAGUAUCAUCACCUAAACUAUCCUGUGGCAACAGGAAUUGAUCUCGAUGGCAAGACUCCCACUAAGUGGGUUAACAGACUGAAAGACCUCAGGUCCCACAUUCCAUGAUGUCAUUUUGUUUGGGAAAUGGUCUUUUUAUGCUACCAGAAAUCCAUUAUUUCCCAAAUUAUAUGUGCAUAGCUACUUUCAUAGUAGGACCACAAAUCAUUCUCUCGUCUCCCUUCCACUCCCUGGGCUCCUUUCCAUUUCUACCAUGUUUCACAGCCUCAAGGGGAUGUUAUGGUACCAUUUUAUAGAUUUUUUUUUUUAAAAAAGGUCAUUGAAAAGGUGAAGUGAUUAACAGAAGCCCACUAGAAGUGAAUUCCAAAUUCCUGAAGCCCAGUUACUAUCAGAUGACACUGAAAAAAAAAACAUUCUUUUGGAUUUGUAAAAUCUUAUAGCAACUCCUAAGCCUCUAUAUGUAAUGAUUCCCUUUGAAAUAAUGAUUGUUCCAAAGGCACUGUAAUGUUUUUGAUAUAGAACAUUAGAUAAGGAGUCAAUAAGAUUUGAAUUUCAGUUCUGGAUUUAAGAUUAAAUUCUUAUGGAAUUAUGGUCAAGUCAUUUCAGCCCUCUGGGCCUGUUUCCUCAUCUGUAAAAUGUGAAAAUUUGACUAGAUAAUCUCUAAUAUCCCUUUCAGCUCAUAUUGUCCUGCUACUAUGUUCCAAGACCCUUUCCAAUUCCAACAUUCUACAAAUCAUCAUGACUGUGUCUAUUCUUUAUGACAAAAAGUACAUGUUUCCCUCCCACCAACAAUGUUAGAAAUUCUGUGCAUGUCCUCACAAGAGAAAUGAGCAUCCUUAUAGAUGCAUAAAAUAUUUGAACUUGAAGGUAACUUGGAGAUCUCCUAGUCCAUCCAGUGCACGUAUUUAUAGAUUAAGAAACUGUGACUCAGAAAGGUAACACAGCCUACCCAAAGUGACAAAUCUAGGAAGUAAGAGGGUUGUGAUAUGAACCCAAGUUUUCCAGUUCAGAUUUUAGUACCAAUCCAUAUCCCUCAAAUAAUGAUGUAUCAGUACCGUGGUGAUUUGAAUCAGACUGGGUCUUAAAUUAUUGUUUCUUGGUCGUAGCUAAGAUUAGAUUGGGAAAUAGUGCAUUGGAGUUCUCCCAGCAGUGAAAUCGAUUAUUCUCUGCACCAGCCAAGACUAGCAGCAUGGACACUACAAAUGGAAUCCAGGACCAAGCAGGAUGGGAACAUUAUUAGUACUUACCAGACUUUGAAGAACAAGUCAAGUGCGAGGAAGUACAGUAGCAGUGGUUGAUUUCUUCACUGUCAAACAUCUAGCACUUCUACUGUUAAUUCACAGCCUCUAUGCAAAUGAUACUGCAUAUCAGGCCGAUGAAUAAAAUAAAAGUGUUCACCAACUAAGCAAGGAGUAUGACUAAAAUGUAUUCUAGGUCAGUUUUAUAAAGGCCCACCUUGUUAUCCGUUCUCAAAAUGACUUUUUCAAAUGAUUUAUGACUGUGUCAGAGAAGAAAUGGUUAUAUAUGUAUUCAUGUUGCAUAAUCUCCUAUGAAUUUAGUGCCAAAAUGCAUGGUUUUCCACUUAGCAUACAAGCAUCAUGUAGACAGUAUUUUUCAUGUUCCUACCUACUCCUCAUAGUAAGUUGUAAAUUAGUUUCUAUAUUUUAAUUGAUUUCUUGUGAAAAUGGUUGCACUGUUCGGGAUUGUCUUUUCCAGCAGACCACUGCAUGCCAUUGGUGGAAUGCGUUUCUACAACCCUUGUGAACUGUCUUACCCAUAAUAACCUCUGAACUUUAACCCUAUGUGGGAGGCAUCUUUUGGUUUUGGUGAAGUAUUUUGUUACCUCAGUCUUGUAUUCAAG
Long non-coding RNA from Sarcophilus harrisii (Tasmanian devil), 5303 nucleotides. The record is from Ensembl. Lineage: Eukaryota; Metazoa; Chordata; Mammalia; Dasyuromorphia; Dasyuridae.